AACGCUGGCGGCAUGCCUUACACAUGCAAGUCGAACGGUAACAGGUCUUCGGAUGCUGACGAGUGGCGAACGGGUGAGUAAUACAUCGGAACGUGCCCGAUCGUGGGGGAUAACGAGGCGAAAGCUUUGCUAAUACCGCAUACGAUCUACGGAUGAAAGCGGGGGAUCUUCGGACCUCGCGCGGACGGAGCGGCCGAUGGCAGAUUAGGUAGUUGGUGGGAUAAAAGCUUACCAAGCCGACGAUCUGUAGCUGGUCUGAGAGGAUGAUCAGCCACACUGGGACUGAGACACGGCCCAGACUCCUACGGGAGGCAGCAGUGGGGAAUUUUGGACAAUGGGCGAAAGCCUGAUCCAGCCAUGCCGCGUGCAGGAUGAAGGCCUUCGGGUUGUAAACUGCUUUUGUACGGAACGAAAAGCCUCUUUCUAAUAAAGAGAGGUCAUGACGGUACCGUAAGAAUAAGCACCGGCUAACUACGUG
Molecule: ribosomal RNA, 478 nt
Filed under: uncultured bacterium
Lineage: Bacteria
Description: partial 16S ribosomal RNA
Rfam family: Bacterial small subunit ribosomal RNA
Source: RNAcentral